This 404-nucleotide ribosomal RNA is filed under the name Actinomycetes bacterium. RNAcentral describes it as "Actinobacteria bacterium partial 16S ribosomal RNA". It matches the Rfam family "Bacterial small subunit ribosomal RNA", at positions 355 to 776 of the family's 1533-position model. The record is from RNAcentral. Lineage: Bacteria; Bacillati; Actinomycetota; Actinomycetes.
UGGGGAAUAUUGGACAAUGGGCGCAAGCCUGAUCCAGCCAUGCCGCGUGAGUGAAGAAGGCCCUAGGGUUGUAAAGCUCUUUCACCGGUGAAGAUAAUGACGGUAACCGGAGAAGAAGCCCCGGCUAACUUCGUGCCAGCAGCCGCGGUAAUACGAAGGGGGCUAGCGUUGUUCGGAUUUACUGGGCGUAAAGCGCACGUAGGCGGACUAUUAAGUCAGGGGUGAAAUCCCGGGGCUCAACCCCGGAACUGCCUUUGAUACUGGUGGUCUUGAGUUCGGGAGAGGUGAGUGGAAUUCCGAGUGUAGAGGUGAAAUUCGUAGAUAUUCGGAGGAACACCAGUGGCAAAGGCGGCGCACUGGCUGGAUACUGACGCUGAGGUGCGAAAGCGUGGGGAGCAAACAGG